RNAcentral lists this long non-coding RNA (284 nucleotides) under Citrus x clementina. RNAcentral describes it as "Citrus clementina (C. clementina) long non-coding RNA (CCLE_LNC004740)". The record is from RNAcentral. Lineage: Eukaryota; Viridiplantae; Streptophyta; Magnoliopsida; Sapindales; Rutaceae.
UAAGUCUAACUGCAGGAACAAUUAGGCUCCUCAACCAAACAUUAGUUUACUCAUAGAUCCAAGGGUGAAGGCUGCUCUGCCAGUUAAUAGGGCCAUCAGGGAACCACAAGGCGAUUUCUUUCUGGGCACUCUCAACUGAGUCACUUCCAUGGAUGAUAUUCCUGCAAAGAGAAUACUCAGGACAUAAAAUAUUUUAACAUCCAAAUGCUAAGCUCAUUGAUAAUUUAACUUGCUUCGAAUUAAUCAAUAACCACAAAUGAAAGAAGCGCUAAUUUAAUAAAUAA